AUUGAACGCUGGCGGCAUGCCUUACACAUGCAAGUCGAACGGUAACGGGCCUUCGGGUUCCGACGAGUGGCGAACGGGUGAGUAAUACAUCGGAACGUGCCCGAUCGUGGGGGAUAACGAGGCGAAAGCUUUGCUAAUACCGCAUACGAUCUACGGAUGAAAGCAGGGGACCGCAAGGCCUUGCGCGGACGGAGCGGCCGAUGGCAGAUUAGGUAGUUGGUGGGAUAAAAGCUUACCAAGCCGACGAUCUGUAGCUGGUCUGAGAGGAUGAUCAGCCACACUGGGACUGAGACACGGCCCAGACUCCUACGGGAGGCAGCAGUGGGGAAUUUUGGACAAUGGGCGCAAGCCUGAUCCAGCCAUGCCGCGUGCAGGAUGAAGGCCUUCGGGUUGUAAACUGCUUUUGUACGGAACGAAAAGCCUUCUUUUAAUACAGGAGGGUCAUGACGGUACCGUAAGAAUAAGCACCGGCUAACUACGUG
Molecule: ribosomal RNA, 482 nt
Filed under: uncultured bacterium
Lineage: Bacteria
Description: partial 16S ribosomal RNA
Rfam family: Bacterial small subunit ribosomal RNA
Source: RNAcentral